AUACGUAGGUGGCGAGCGUUAUCCGGAAUUACUGGGUGUAAAGGGUGUGUAGGCGGGGAGCCAAGUCAGAUGUGAAAAUUACGGGCUCAACCCGUAACCUGCGUCUGAAACUGGUUUUCUUGAGAGUGGGAGAGGUAAACGGAAUUCCUGGUGUAGCGGUGAAAUGCGUAGAUAUCAGGAGGAACACCGGUGGCGAAGGCGGUUUACUGGACCACAACUGACGCUGAGACACGAAAGCGUGGGGAGCAAACAGGAUUAGAUACCCUGGUAGUCCGCACAGUAAACGAUGGGUACUAGGUGUAGGAGGUAUCGACCCCUUCUGUGCCGGAGUUAACGCAAUAAGUACCCCGCCUGGGGAGUACGGCCGCAAGGUUGAAACUCAAAUGAAUUGACGGGG
This 397-nucleotide ribosomal RNA is filed under the name uncultured bacterium. RNAcentral describes it as "partial 16S ribosomal RNA". It matches the Rfam family "Bacterial small subunit ribosomal RNA", at positions 523 to 918 of the family's 1533-position model. The record is from RNAcentral.